UAAGGAAUAUUGGUCAAUGGACGCAAGUCUGAACCAGCCAUGCCGCGUGAAGGAUUAAGGCCCUCUGGGUUGUAAACUUCUUUUAUAGGGGAAGAAAUGUGACGGUUCUCCGUCACUUGACGGUACCCUGGGAAUAAGCACCGGCUAACUCCGUGCCAGCAGCCGCGGUGAUACGGAGGGUGCAAGCGUUAUCCGGAUUCACUGGGUUUAAAGGGUGCGUAGGUGGGCAGAUAAGUCAGUGGUGAAAUCUCCCGGCUUAACCGGGAAACUGCCGUUGNUACUAUUUGUCUUGAAUAUUGCGGAGGUAAGCGGAAUAUGUCAUGUAGCGGUGAAAUGCUUAGAUAUGACAUAGAACACCAAUUGCGAAGGCAGCUUACUAUGCGGUGAUUGACACUGAGGCACGAAAGCGUGGGUAGCAAACA
This 422-nucleotide ribosomal RNA is filed under the name uncultured bacterium. RNAcentral's name for it is "bacterial SSU rRNA". It matches the Rfam family "Bacterial small subunit ribosomal RNA", at positions 355 to 774 of the family's 1533-position model. The record is from RNAcentral.